GACGAACGCUGGCGGCGUGCUUAACACAUGCAAGUCGAACGGAAAGGCCCUGCUUUUGUGGGGUGCUCGAGUGGCGAACGGGUGAGUAACACGUGAGUAACCUGCCCUUGACUUUGGGAUAACUUCAGGAAACUGGGGCUAAUACCGGAUAGGAGCUCCUGCUGCAUGGUGGGGGUUGGAAAGUUUCGGCGGUUGGGGAUGGACUCGCGGCUUAUCAGCUUGUUGGUGGGGUAGUGGCUUACCAAGGCUUUGACGGGUAGCCGGCCUGAGAGGGUGACCGGCCACAUUGGGACUGAGGUACGGCCCAGACUCCUUCGGGAGGCAGCAGUGGGGAAUAUUGCACAAUGGGCGGAAGCCUGAUGCAGCAACGCCGCGUGCGGGAUGACGGCCUUCGGGUUGUAAACCGCUUUCGCCUGUGACGAAGCGUGAGUGACGGUAAUGGGUAAAGAAGCACCGGCUAACUACGU
This 467-nucleotide ribosomal RNA is filed under the name uncultured bacterium. Its description in RNAcentral is "partial 16S ribosomal RNA". It matches the Rfam family "Bacterial small subunit ribosomal RNA", at positions 28 to 506 of the family's 1533-position model. The record is from RNAcentral.